ACGUCCUCCCAUCCCUCACCCCUUUUCCCUCUGAUGAAACCUCCCAUGCCGCAUCUUCUCUUCUUGCUUCCUCGCCGCCAUGCGCCAACCCCGCCAUCAGCUGUUGAUCCGGCCGCGUACUUCCACCCUCGUCGCCCUCCCUAGUCCAGUAACGUCACCCGCUCCCUACAACUCCUGUAUAGGUCUUCGUGGCCCUCAGAUCUGGCAGCCCUCAGCCACGACGCUGCCGGAUCUGGUUGGCGUGGCCUCGUUGCCCCAACCAAUAGGUGCUCGACGCCUCUCCUCGGGACCGUAGCGGUAUUCUUCGUCGGCUCUCUAUCCCUCCACCUCCUGCGCCAUGUAUCGGCCUUCUGCCCUUUCUUGAAGCUCCUUCUCAUCCAAGUGGUCACCUGAUGCUGCCGAGUGGACCACGCUCACUCGCGCCUUCGCCCGCCAGUACCAGGAUUUGCUCGUGUGUUUCAAGUUGAAUACUGGGGAGAUGGAGGAGAUGUGCCACGGCAGGCUACUGUGGUGGUGAGAUUCAGAGCGGGGGCUUCUUGUUAUACUUAAAUGCACUAUGCUAUCAUGCAUGUCUAAGUCGCGGGCCUAUCUGAAGAGCAAUAAUAUAAAGCUUUUGAGCUUAGGCACAUGAAUCAAGCCCCCAGAAUCCGAUGGUCUACUGAGCCAGUUUUAAGUUGGCGAGGAAGGGUGGAGCAGUGAACCUUGCCACACAACGGCACCCCCUUCGCCUGAUGACCUUUUCCGAUCACGAUGACCUCCUGUCGCUGCUGAAGGAAUUGGAAACAGUACUGGAGGAAUUGUGAUCUAUGUCAAGGGUGAUGAUGUCUAUGGAAAUGAUUGUUGAGUGUUAUGAUACAUAUGGUGAUGAAGGGUGACGAAUCUAAUGUCUUUCGUCAAGACAUGCAACAAAGUGAAGUUAUGAAGUUCUGGUCAAUUUAGCUUAUGCAUAAUGCUUGGACCAUUAGAUCUUAGUUACUAUUUUAUUUUGCAUUUCAAACUUCCCAGAUAGAUCACGGUGAUCAAUGUAAUUUUGAUGCAACUCUUCUGAUAUUCUGAAA
Triticum aestivum (bread wheat) is the source of this 1058-nucleotide long non-coding RNA. RefSeq lists it as uncharacterized. The record is from RefSeq and is a predicted model, not a curated record. NCBI's taxonomy places the organism in Eukaryota, Viridiplantae, Streptophyta, Magnoliopsida, Poales, Poaceae. The transcript is spliced from 4 exons.